AUUGAACGCUGGCGGAAUGCUUUACACAUGCAAGUCGAACGGCAGCACGGGAGCUUGCUCCUGGUGGCGAGUGGCGAACGGGUGAGUAAUGCGUCGGAACGUGCCGAGUAAUGGGGGAUAACGCAGCGAAAGUUGUGCUAAUACCGCAUACGCCCUGAGGGGGAAAGUGGGGGAUCGCAAGACCUCACGUUAUUCGAGCGGCCGACGUCUGAUUGGCUAGUUGGUGGGGUAAAAGGCCUACCAAGGCGACGAUCAGUAGCGGGUCUGAGAGGAUGAUCCGCCACACUGGGACUGAGACACGGCCCAGACUCCUACGGGAGGCAGCAGUGGGGAAUUUUGGACAAUGGGGGCAACCCUGAUCCAGCCAUUCCGCGUGAGUGAAGAAGGCCUCGGUUGUAAGGUAC
RNAcentral lists this ribosomal RNA (404 nucleotides) under uncultured bacterium. RNAcentral's name for it is "bacterial SSU rRNA". It matches the Rfam family "Bacterial small subunit ribosomal RNA", at positions 30 to 433 of the family's 1533-position model. The record is from RNAcentral.